Molecule: ribosomal RNA, 468 nt
Filed under: uncultured bacterium
Lineage: Bacteria
Description: partial 16S ribosomal RNA
Rfam family: Bacterial small subunit ribosomal RNA
Source: RNAcentral
GACGAACGCUGGCGGCGUGCUUAACACAUGCCAGUCGAACGGAAAGGCCCUGCUUUUGUGGGUUUCUCGAGUGGCGAACGGGUGAGUAACACGUGAGUAACCUGCCCUUGACUUUGGGAUAACUUCAGGAAACUGGGGCUAAUACAGGAUAGGAGCUCCUGCUGCAUGUUGGGGGUUGGAAAGUUUCGGCGGUUGGGGUUGUACUCGCGGCUUAUCAGCUUGUUGGUGGGGUAGUGGCUUACCAAGGCUUUGAGGGGUUGCCGGCCUGAGAGGGUGACCGGCAACAUUGGGACUGAGAUACGGCCCAGACUCCUACGGGAGGCAGCAGUGGGGAAUAUUGCACAAUGGGCGGAAGCCUGAUGCAGCAACGCCGCGUGCGGGAUGACGGCCUUCGGGUUGUAAACCGCUUUCGCCUGUGACGAAGCGUGAGUGACGGUAAUGGGUAAAGAAGCACCGGCUAACUACGUG